This 436-nucleotide ribosomal RNA is filed under the name uncultured Clostridium sp. Its description in RNAcentral is "partial 16S ribosomal RNA". It matches the Rfam family "Bacterial small subunit ribosomal RNA", at positions 341 to 792 of the family's 1533-position model. The record is from RNAcentral. Lineage: Bacteria; Bacillati; Bacillota; Clostridia; Eubacteriales; Clostridiaceae.
ACGGAAGGCAGCAGUGGGGAAUAUUGGGCAAUGGGCGCAAGCCUGACCCAGCAACGCCGCGUGAAGGAAGAAGGCCUUCGGGUUGUAAACUUCUUUUAUCAGGGACGAAGAAUGUGACGGUACCUGAUGAAUAAGCCACGGCUAACUACGUGCCAGCAGCCGCGGUAAUACGUAGGUGGCAAGCGUUAUCCGGAUUUACUGGGUGUAAGGGCGCGUAGGCGGGGAUGCAAGUCAGGUGUGAAAUCUAUGGGCUUAACCCAUAAACUGCAUUUGAAACUGUAUCUCUUGAGUGUCGGAGAGGUAGAUGGAAUUCCUAGUGUAGCGGUGAAAUGCGUAGAUAUUAGGAGGAACACCAGUGGCGAAGGCGAUCUACUGGACGAUAACUGACGCUGAGGCGCGGAAGCGUGGGGAGCAAACAGGAUUAGAUACCCUGGUA